CAUGAUUUAUAUAUUUAAUGGCCGCGGUAUUUUGACCGUGCGAAGGUAGCGUAAUCAUUAGCCUAUUUAUUGUGGGAUAGUAUGAAUGGUUUGACGAAAUAUUGACUGUCUCAUUUUAAUUAUUUAAAAUUUAAUUUUUGAGUUAAAAAGCUUAAGUUUUUUUAAAGGACGAGAAGACCCUAUAGAUCUUUAUUAUUUAUUUUUUAAUAUUUUUUAGUUUAUUUUAUUAUUUUUUUAUUUAUUAUUUUGUUGGGGUGAUGUUAGGAUAUAUUUAACUCCUUUUUUUUUUAUCAUUUAUUUUUGUUUUUUUGAUCUUUUAUUAUUGCUUAUAAGAAUAAGAUACCUUAGGGAUAACAGCGUAAUUCUCUUUGAGAGUUCAUAUUGACAAUGGAGUUUGCGACCUCGAUGUUGAAUUAAGAUUAUUUUUAGGUGAAGUAGCUUAAUUAUUAAGUCUGUUCGACUUUUAAUAUCUUACAUGAUCUGAGU
Molecule: ribosomal RNA, 486 nt
Filed under: Cryptophyllium westwoodii
Lineage: Eukaryota; Metazoa; Arthropoda; Insecta; Phasmatodea; Phylliidae
Description: partial large subunit ribosomal RNA
Rfam family: Bacterial large subunit ribosomal RNA (bases 350-486)
Source: RNAcentral